UGUGUGUGUGUAUGUGUAGGAGACACAUGAUAAUAUGUUUCCAGGGGCGUAAAGGGGGCAUACUCUUUAUUUAUAGAAAAGGACGGAAACUCAGCUACAAGACAAACAAACAAACAAACAACAGAGAUGUGCUUUUGUGCUCUCUCCCAUUAAAAGAAGACUGUAGAUUGUAGUUUUCAAAUUUGGCUAAGAUGAAUCCUUGUUUCAUCUUUAAUCACGCCAAACUCUGCCCCAUUUGUCAUGUUUACUCUCCCGUACAAAGGAUGGACCUUAUGCUUGCUAUUACCUCGACAACCAGUGUUCACUUUAAUAAAUGAGGCACAGUUUCUUCGAGAGAAACUGAAUUUUCUUUUCUUUUCUUUUGCUGCCUACCAGCCACAAAGCGAAAGUUUCUAUUCAGAUCCCCAAGGGCACAGCAGUUCUGGCAACUGUAACACAGCCCUAUAGACCAAAACCAACCAAACAACGACCUCUACUCCAUGCGCAAAUCUCCGCAGACCGUCUGUUGGGAAAAAAGUACCCGGAGUUCUACAAAAAUCUUCAAGGGAAAUAAUAACAAUAAAAAAAUCUGGAUCAUAAAAUUGAUUUUUUUUAUUUUAUUUGACUUUAUUUUAAUUUUUGGAAAACAAAACGAAACAAACAACAACUCUCACGUGGGAAGAAUCCACUCAAACCAUGAAUACCGUCUGUGGGGCGUUGGAAAAAGGAUGUGGGAAUGCACAAGAAAUUGCUGCCUAUCUGCAUGUGACAUCAAAUGAAG
Molecule: long non-coding RNA, 760 nt
Filed under: Gopherus agassizii (Agassiz's desert tortoise)
Lineage: Eukaryota; Metazoa; Chordata; Testudines; Testudinidae
Description: lncRNA (ENSGAGG00000021649.1)
Source: RNAcentral